Molecule: ribosomal RNA, 460 nt
Filed under: uncultured bacterium
Lineage: Bacteria
Description: partial 16S ribosomal RNA
Rfam family: Bacterial small subunit ribosomal RNA
Source: RNAcentral
CCUACGGGAGGCAGCAGUGAGGAAUAUUGGUCAAUGGACGCAAGUCUGAACCAGCCAUGUCGCGUGCAGGAAGACGGCUCUAUGAGUUGUAAACUGCUUUUGUACGCGGGUAAAUCCCCAUUCGUGUAUCGGGUUUAAACUAUCGUACGAAUAAGGAUCGGCUAACUCCGUGCCAGCAGCCGCGGUAAUACGGAGGAUUCAAGCGUUAUCCGGAUUUAGUUGGUUUAAAGGGUGCGUAGGCGGUACGAUAAGUUAGAGGAGAAAUCCCGGGGCUCAAAUCCGGCACUGCCUCUGAUACUGUCGGGCUAGAGUGUAGUUGCGGUAGGCGGAAUGUAUGGUGUAGCGGUGAAAUGCAUAGAGAUCAUACAGAACACCGGUUGCGAAGGCAGCUUACCAAACUACGACUGACGUUGAGGCACGAAAGCGUGGGGAGCAAACAGGAUUAGAUACCCCUGUAGUC